UACGGGAGGCAGCAGUGGGGAAUAUUGGGCAAUGGGCGAAAGCCUGACCCAGCGACGCCGCGUGAGGGAAGAAGGUCUUCGGAUUGUAAACCUCUUUCAUCAGGGAAGAAGGAAAUGACGGUACCUGCNNAANAAGCCACGGCUAACUACGUGCCANCAGCCGCGGUAAU
This 170-nucleotide ribosomal RNA is filed under the name uncultured rumen bacterium. RNAcentral describes it as "partial 16S ribosomal RNA". It matches the Rfam family "Bacterial small subunit ribosomal RNA", at positions 340 to 524 of the family's 1533-position model. The record is from RNAcentral.